GAUGAACGCUAGCUACAGGCUUAACACAUGCCAGUCGAGGGGAAACGACAUCGAAGGCUUGCUUUUGAUGGGCGUCGACCGGCGCACGGGUGAGUAACGCGUAUCUAACCUGCCCAUCACUUGGGAAUAACCUUGCGAAAGUAAGACUAAUACCCAAUGAUAUCCCACGAAGGCAUCGGAAUGGGAUUAAAGAUUUAUCGGUGAUGGAUGGGGAUGCGUCUGAUUAGCUUGUUGGCGGGGUAACGGCCCACCAAGGCAACGAUCAGUAGGGGUUCUGAGAGGAAGGUCCCCCACAUUGGAACUGAGACACGGUCCAAACUCCUACGGGAGGCAGCAGUGAGGAAUAUUGGUCAAUGGGCGAGAGCCUGAACCAGCCAAGUAGCGUGCAGGAAGACGGCCCUAUGGGUUGUAAACUGCUUUUAGAAGGGAAUAAAGUGGGUCACGUGUGACUUUUUGCAUGUACCUUAUGAAUAAGGACCGGCUAAUUCCGUG
This 492-nucleotide ribosomal RNA is filed under the name uncultured bacterium. RNAcentral's name for it is "partial 16S ribosomal RNA". It matches the Rfam family "Bacterial small subunit ribosomal RNA", at positions 28 to 507 of the family's 1533-position model. The record is from RNAcentral.